This 258-nucleotide long non-coding RNA is filed under the name Panax ginseng (ginseng). RNAcentral's name for it is "long non-coding RNA (PGIN_LNC008694)". The record is from RNAcentral. Lineage: Eukaryota; Viridiplantae; Streptophyta; Magnoliopsida; Apiales; Araliaceae.
ACACUCUUGUACUUGGUCUUCUUUGCCAGCAUCUGAUCCGAAGAAAUGACGCCAUCUGUCGUCAAAGUUAUAAGCAUCUGUAGUGGCCAGCUUCGAUAAUGCACCGGCGGUGGAAUUGUUAUUGUGAUCGACUCCUUGAUAGCAUGUUGUACUGAUGUCUGAAAUAGAAUAUCCAUCUGCAUGCAAUGUCCAUGAACUCUGCUUCUGCUGAAGAACUGCAACGGCUUUGUCGGACUCCUCAGCUUCUCUUUAACUAUU